Molecule: ribosomal RNA, 481 nt
Filed under: uncultured bacterium
Lineage: Bacteria
Description: partial 16S ribosomal RNA
Rfam family: Bacterial small subunit ribosomal RNA
Source: RNAcentral
GAUGAACGCUGGCGGCGUGCUUAACACAUGCAAGUCGAACGAAGCACUUUAUUUGAUUUCCUUCGGGACUGAUUAUUUUGUGACUGAGUGGCGGACGGGUGAGUAACGCGUGGGUAACCUGCCUUGUACAGGGGGAUAACAGUUGGAAACGGCUGCUAAUACCGCAUAAGCGCACGGCAUCGCAUGAUGCAGUGUGAAAAACUCCGGUGGUAUAAGAUGGACCCGCGUUGGAUUAGCUAGUUGGUGAGGUAACGGCCCACCAAGGCGACGAUCCAUAGCCGACCUGAGAGGGUGACCGGCCACAUUGGGACUGAGACACGGCCCAAACUCCUACGGGAGGCAGCAGUGGGGAAUAUUGCACAAUGGGCGAAAGCCUGAUGCAGCGACGCCGCGUGAGCGAAGAAGUAUUUCGGUAUGUAAAGCUCUAUCAGCAGGGAAGAUAAUGACGGUACCUGACUAAGAAGCGCCGGCUAAAUACGUG